AACGAACGCUGGCGGCGUGCCUAACACAUGCAAGUCGAACGGAAUUAAGGGGCUUGCUCCUUAAUUUAGUGGCGCACGGGUGAGUAACGCGUAGAUAAUCUGCCUGAUGAUCUGGGAUAA
Molecule: ribosomal RNA, 120 nt
Filed under: uncultured bacterium
Lineage: Bacteria
Description: partial 16S ribosomal RNA
Rfam family: Bacterial small subunit ribosomal RNA
Source: RNAcentral